Molecule: non-coding RNA, 124 nt
Organism: Leopardus geoffroyi (Geoffroy's cat)
Lineage: Eukaryota; Metazoa; Chordata; Mammalia; Carnivora; Felidae
Product: small Cajal body-specific RNA 7
Exons: 1
Source: RefSeq, a predicted model, not a curated record
UGGAAAUGAUGAAAUAGAGAUAACUGGGUGUCAAAUGUUGUACGAUUAGAAAUUUUUAAUAUGUAAGUUAAGAGAUUAAUCUAAGUUUGGGGCGCCUGGGUGGCGCAGUCGGUUAAGCGUCCGA